RNAcentral lists this ribosomal RNA (460 nucleotides) under uncultured bacterium. RNAcentral describes it as "partial 16S ribosomal RNA". It matches the Rfam family "Bacterial small subunit ribosomal RNA", at positions 338 to 795 of the family's 1533-position model. The record is from RNAcentral.
CCUACGGGUGGCAGCAGUGAGGAAUAUUGGUCAAUGGACGAGAGUCUGAACCAGCCAAGUAGCGUGAAGGAAGACUGCCCUAUGGGUUGUAAACUUCUUUUAUAUGGGAAUAAAACAGGGUAUGCAUACCCUCUUGUAUGUACCAUAUGAAUAAGGAUCGGCUAACUCCGUGCCAGCAGCCGCGGUAAGACGGAGGAGCCCAGCGUUGUCCGGAUUUAUUGGGUUUAAAGGGAGCGUAGGAGUUUUGUUAAGUCAGUUGUGAAAGUUUGCGGCUCAACCGUAAAAUUGCAGUUGAUACUGGCAGUCUUGAGUACAGUAGAGGUUGGCGGAAUUCUUGGUGUAGCGGUGAAAUGCUUAGAUAUCACGCAGAACUCCGAUUGCGAAGGCAGCUCACUGGACUGCAACUGACACUGAGGCUCGACAGUGUGGGUAUCAAACAGGAUUAGCUACCCGGGUAGUC